AUUGAACGCUGGCGGCAGGCCUAACACAUGCAAGUCGAACGGUAACAGGAAACAGCUUGCUGUUUCGCUGACGAGUGGCGGACGGGUGAGUAAUGUCUGGGAAACUGCCUGAUGGAGGGGGAUAACUACUGGAAACGGUAGCUAAUACCGCAUAACGUCGCAAGACCAAAGAGGGGGACCCUCGGGCCUCUUGCCAUCGGCUGUGCCCAGAUGGGAUUAGCUUGUUGGUGGGGUAACGGCUCACCAAGGCGACGAUCCCUAGCUGGUCUGAGAGGAUGACCAGCCACACUGGAACGGAGGCACGGUCAAGAGUCCUACGGGAGGCAGCAGUGGGGAAUAUUGCACAAUGGGCGCAAGCCUGAUGCAGCCAUGCCGCGUGUAUGAAGAAGGCCUUCGGGUUGUAAAGUACUUUCAGCGGGGAGGAAGGGAGUAAAGUUAAUACCUUUGCUAAUUGACGUUACCCGCAGAAGAAGCACCGGCUAACUACGUG
Molecule: ribosomal RNA, 490 nt
Filed under: uncultured bacterium
Lineage: Bacteria
Description: partial 16S ribosomal RNA
Rfam family: Bacterial small subunit ribosomal RNA
Source: RNAcentral